RNAcentral lists this ribosomal RNA (554 nucleotides) under Aliteranodon stuhlmanni (eastcoast lampeye). Its description in RNAcentral is "partial 16S ribosomal RNA". It matches the Rfam family "Bacterial large subunit ribosomal RNA", at positions 1857 to 2608 of the family's 2925-position model. The record is from RNAcentral. Lineage: Eukaryota; Metazoa; Chordata; Actinopteri; Cyprinodontiformes; Pantanodontidae.
GCCUGCCCUGUGACUUAAUGUUUAACGGCCGCGGUAUUUUGACCGUGCAAAGGUAGCGUAAUCACUUGUCUUUUAAAUGAAGACCUGUAUGAAAGGCACCACGAGGGCUUAACUGUCUCCACCCCUUAGUCAGUGAAAUUGAUCUCCCCGUGCAGAAGCGGGGAUAUUACCAUAAGACGAGAAGACCCUAUGGAGCUUUAGACGACAAGUAGGUCAUCUUUUAACCUCUAAAUUAAAAGAGUAAAACUAUUGAAUUCUACUUAGAUGUCUUUGGUUGGGGCGACCGCGGGGAAAAGCUAAACCCCCACGAGGACUAGGAGUACAGUUUUCCUAGAAACUAGAGAAACACCUCAAAUAAACAGAAUGUCUGACCAAACAGAUCCGGCUUUUGCCGAUCAACGAACCUAGUUACCCUAGGGAUAACAGCGCAAUCCCCUUUUAGAGCCCAUAUCGACAAGGGGGUUUACGACCUCGAUGUUGGAUCAGGACAUCCUAAUGGUGCAGCCGCUAUUAAGGGUUCGUUUGUUCAACGAUUAAAGUCCUACGUGAUCUGA